GUUUUCCUGCUUAUAUGUGAAUGGAAUCCAGUGUCAUAAAAUGAAAAUGCUGCUAGAACUGUCCACAAAAGUGCCACGAAACUGAAAAGAUUAGGAUAGUGACUCCAAUGUCGUCUUAAAAAAGCUGCCAUCUGCUUCUAGUGAUUCUGAAAUGUUAAUGAGGGAGGCACAUGGUCCUUUGUGUUCAUGUGUUUCUCUUCUCCUGGCAUUGUCUCAUCUUUUUCAAGCUAUGGUACUAUGAGAAGACAAAGAAAACAUCUAAUGCAACAAAAGUUGGAAGCACCUGGUUGAGCUACUGAGGGAUACUGUAAAGACUCCAGAGAUUAGAGCAGAAUUAUUACCUCUGUGACAUGCCAGCAUGUUUGGCAACAUGCAAGCGGUUUCUGAUUCCUGAGAGCAUGAGUCCAACGCAAAUUGUAAACACCGCCCCUUCUCUAUGAUUCUCAUAGACUACAGAUAAAACAGAAGCUCAAUUUGCUGUGCCUGCUGGACUAAUGUAAGGCAGUCAACCACUGCAUGUUUGCUGUCUGCUGCAACUGACAAGAGGUCUCAACUAUAUUAUUAGCCCAGUGCUGCCUAUUCAGAUUUAUAUUUUGCAUAAAAGACAGAAGGAUUUGAAUGGAAGUGCGUGGUCUUUCUCUCAUGGCAACAGUAAGUAUAGUUAUCCUUGGCACUUAGGUCAUUUUAAUAAUGGUAUUUUUUCUGAUUGUUUCCAUGAGUUAUUAGGUCUUUCAUGUUUGAGUGUUAAUUUUAAAUCUCCUCCAAGUCAAACAUCUGGCCAAGAUUGCAACUACUCUGUCCCGCCUGAGAAGAGAGGCAAAGUUCCCUCUCUGCAUAGUGCAAUUACUAGCAUGAGUAGCUUAAGGCUGUGUAAUAUACUACAGUGGUUGGCUUUUAAGACUGCACUGGAAAGUUAGCCAAGAUUGUCACACUGGAACAGUAGAAUAACGAGUGAAUUGGGAAGGGGCUGUGUAGUGACUUGUGCUCUGGGAAGUGCUCCAGGCGGAUUGUCUCCCACCUCUCCAGAAAAGUCUAUAGAAUCAUAGAAUGGCUUGAGUUGGAGGGGACCUUUAAAGGCCACCUGGUCCAACUCCCCUGCACCGAACAGGGAUACCUACACUAGAUCAGGUGCUCAGGUGCUGCCUGACCUUGAGUUUAAAUUUUUGUUCUUUUGCAUUAACAAUAUGUAGUAAAAUAUCCAUAAAACCAUAUCUGUCA
Molecule: long non-coding RNA, 1218 nt
Organism: Gallus gallus (chicken)
Lineage: Eukaryota; Metazoa; Chordata; Aves; Galliformes; Phasianidae
Source: Ensembl